RNAcentral lists this long non-coding RNA (1651 nucleotides) under Ananas comosus (pineapple). RNAcentral describes it as "long non-coding RNA (ACOM_LNC031436)". The record is from RNAcentral. Lineage: Eukaryota; Viridiplantae; Streptophyta; Magnoliopsida; Poales; Bromeliaceae.
UUGAUGUGGGUUAGGAAUAGGGUUUGAGAGAGGAUAGGUUUUUUUUUUUUUUUUUUUUUGAUGAGAAAGGGUGAGGAGAAGAAGGGUGAGAUGGUCACAUGGGCUUCGAGAACUUAGUGGGCUUCCAGAAUGAAAUUUCAAUCCGGACUAGAAGACCGGAAUCAAGUUGAAGGCUAAUAGGCCAUUCCCAUUCCAGUCCGGAAUAGGAAUCCCAAACCGAUUCAUGCGAACCAAACAAAAUUAACCGGAUUUGAUCAAACCGAUUCCCAUUCCACACCCAAAAUGGAUGAACCAAACAAGCCCUUAAGGUCAAAUGUUUUAUGAUGCUCCUGCUAAUGUAACUGAAUAUGAGUAUCCGAUCCCUAGGUGGCAUACCCUAGUACCUGCGUGCGCUCGAGAUGUAAGUGGAUCAAGCACAAGCAAUAUAUUCCAUCUCCAAUAAUCAGAUGAACCUUCAAUUCGUGCUAGUCAAUUUCUUUCUUUCUUUCUUUCUUUCUUUCUUUCUUGGUAGGUUUCAUCCGUAUGUCUUAAACUCGAUGCCCCAAGAGUGAUUAAAAACGCAAACGAAAACAGGAAUUCACGCAGUUCAACUAUGCGACGACAACAAAAGAAGCUAACAGGAAAAUAAGAUCUAGGGUUGGGAUGAAACAAAUAAAGUUGCUAAAAAUACUCUAGGGUUUUCGAGCUGGAAUAGAAAUAUGGGAGGAGAGGGGCAUUACCUGGUAGAUGACGAGGACGAUGAGAGCGAUAAGGAGGAAGAAGGCGGAGAGCCAGACGAACACCAUAUCCCCAAAUCCCGUCCUCUAAGAGGCUCCCCGUAUCUCCGGCCGCCGCAGGGUUAAAAAAAAAUGAUCUCCGCCACCACGGCGGCGGGGAUCAACAACCGGAACCCUAAUGCUUCCGGCGCCCGACAGGCCAAAGCAGAGCAAAAAAUUAUAAUAAUAAUAAUAAUAAUAAUAAUAAUAAUUAAAUAAAGUAAUAGCAACAGCUGCAAAUUUUCGUUCUAUGCAGGCUUGAUCACAUAUAUGGAUCCUCACAGCGAAGGACCCCGCCCCUGAACUCGGGUUUGCCUGAUUUGCUUGGUCGGGAUCCAGGGAGGACGAGGUUUCCGCUCUCGAGAUUUAGUCGGUUUUAAUAUAUUUUUCGAUUCAGCAUUUAGCCCUCUAAAAAAAUUUUAUUUCAAAAAUGGUCCCGUCAAAAUUUAAUUUAUAAAAAUGGUUCUGAUCUUGCCAUGCGAGCGCCACGGCAGCGUCACGCGCACAGGGCUGGGGCCAGAGUAUUAAGGGCGUGUUUGGUUCGCUUCUUUUUCACCCUGGAAUCGGAAUCGGAAUGGAUAAAUCCGUUUGUAGGUGUUUGGUACGCGGGAGUUCCAUUCCGAUUCCGAUUCCCGAGUGGAAUGGGAAUCCCCCAAUCACCUCUUUUUUCAAUCCGGCCUACGAAGCCGGAUUGAAAGUUGAAUCCGGACGGAAUGAAUAUUUAUUCGGAUUAAAUUUAUUUUUUCAACUUUUUUAAUUAAAAUAUGAGUUAAAAUUUUAAAAUUAAAUAUAUAAUUUUAAAUAUUAAUUUAAACUUAAAUUAAAAAUUAAAAUUUAAUCAAGUAUUUCGAAUCUAACUUAUGAAUUUGAAUUUAAAUUAAAUUUUAAUUUAUAUA